Molecule: ribosomal RNA, 468 nt
Filed under: uncultured bacterium
Lineage: Bacteria
Description: partial 16S ribosomal RNA
Rfam family: Bacterial small subunit ribosomal RNA
Source: RNAcentral
GACGAACGCUGGCGGCGUGCUUAACACAUGCAAGUCGAACGGAAAGGCCCUGCUUUUGUGGGGUGCUCGAGUGGCGAACGGGUGAGUAACACGUGAGUAACCUGCCCUUGACUUUGGGAUAACUUCAGGAAACUGGGGCUAAUACCGUAUAGGAUCUCCUGCUGCAUUGUGUGGGUUGGAAAGUUUCGGCGGUUGGGGAUGGACUCGCGGCUUAUCAGCUUGUUUGUGGGGUAGUGGCUUACCAAGGCUUUGACGGGUAGCCGGCCUGAGAGGGUGACCGGCCACAUUGGGACUGAGAUACGGCACAGAAUCAUACGGGAGGAAGAAGUGGGGAAGAUUGAAAAAUGGGAGGAAGACUGAUGAAGAAACGCCGCGUGCGGGAUGACGGCCUUCGGGUUGUAAAAAGAUUUAGAAUGAGAAGAAGCGUGAGUGAAGGUAAUGGGUAAAGAAGCAACGGAUAAAUACGGG